RNAcentral lists this ribosomal RNA (762 nucleotides) under Limosilactobacillus fermentum. RNAcentral's name for it is "bacterial SSU rRNA". It matches the Rfam family "Bacterial small subunit ribosomal RNA", at positions 582 to 1344 of the family's 1533-position model. The record is from RNAcentral. Lineage: Bacteria; Bacillati; Bacillota; Bacilli; Lactobacillales; Lactobacillaceae.
UCUAAGUNUGAUGUGAAAGCCUUCGGCUUAACCGGAGAAGUGCAUCGGAAACUGGAUAACUUGAGUGCAGAAGAGGGUAGUGGAACUCCAUGUGUAGCGGUGGAAUGCGUAGAUAUAUGGAAGAACACCAGUGGCGAAGGCGGCUACCUGGUCUGCAACUGACGCUGAGACUCGAAAGCAUGGGUAGCGAACAGGAUUAGAUACCCUGGUAGUCCAUGCCGUAAACGAUGAGUGCUAGGUGUUGGAGGGUUUCCGCCCUUCAGUGCCGGAGCUAACGCAUUAAGCACUCCGCCUGGGGAGUACGACCGCAAGGUUGAAACUCAAAGGAAUUGACGGGGGCCCGCACAAGCGGUGGAGCAUGUGGUUUAAUUCGAAGCUACGCGAAGAACCUUACCAGGUCUUGACAUCUUGCGCCAACCCUAGAGAUAGGGCGUUUCCUUCGGGAACGCAAUGACAGGUGGUGCAUGGUCGUCGUCAGCUCGUGUCGUGAGAUGUUGGGUUAAGUCCCGCAACGAGCGCAACCCUUGUUACUAGUUGCCAGCAUUAAGUUGGGCACUCUAGUGAGACUGCCGGUGACAAACCGGAGGAAGGUGGGGACGACGUCAGAUCAUCAUGCCCCUUAUGACCUGGGCUACACACGUGCUACAAUGGACGGUACAACGAGUCGCGAACUCGCGAGGGCAAGCAAAUCUCUUAAAACCGUUCUCAGUUCGGACUGCAGGCUGCAACUCGCCUGCACGAAGUCGGAAUCGCUAGUAAUCG